RNAcentral lists this ribosomal RNA (363 nucleotides) under uncultured myxobacterium HF0200_19H16. Its description in RNAcentral is "bacterial SSU rRNA". It matches the Rfam family "Bacterial small subunit ribosomal RNA", at positions 1137 to 1498 of the family's 1533-position model. The record is from RNAcentral. Lineage: Bacteria; Pseudomonadati; Myxococcota; Myxococcia; Myxococcales.
ACUCUAGGGAGACUGCCGGUGUAAACCGGAGGAAGGUGGGGAUGACGUCAAGUCCUCAUGGCCCUUACGCCUAGGGCUACACACGUGCUACAAUGGCGACCACAGAGCGCUGCGAACCCGCGAGGGGGAGCCAAUCGCAAAAAGGUCGUCCCAGUUCGGAUCGUAGUCUGCAACUCGACUGCGUGAAGUCGGAAUCGCUAGUAAUCGCGUGUCAGCAUAACGCGGUGAAUACGUUCCCGGGCCUUGUACACACCGCCCGUCACACCAUGGGAGUCGAUUGCUCCAGAAGUCGGUGAGCUAACCUGCAAGGGAGGCAGCCGCCCAAGGAGUGGUCGGUAACUGGGGUGAAGUCGUAACAAGGUA